GCUCGUAGUCUGAAUUGGCCAGCAAUGGCCUUGUGUAUAAUUACGUUCACUGUGAACAAAUCAGGACGCUUAGAGUAUGGUUACAGGAAUGACUCAGCGCAGUAUGAUAUCUUUGUUUUUUUCGGAAAACAAGCUCAAAGAGAGCCAUCGGGGGUAGAUCUAUCCCAUGACGAGUGGUGGAAUACGGUGACUCAUGGGAGAGAAUCGGAGGCGAAGGCGUCUACCUAGAGGGUUUCUGUCGAUCAAGGGCGAGAGUAGGAGUAUCCAACAGGAUUAGAGACCCUGGUAGUUCCUACUGUAAACGAUGCCGACAGGAGUUUGUCAUUUGCUAAUGGCAGAAUCUUUAGAGAAAUCAUAGUUCUUGGGCUCUGGGGGAACUACGACCGCAAGGCUGAAACUUGAAGGAAUUGACGGAAGGGCACACCAGGGGUGGAGCCUGUGGCUUAAUUUGAAUCAACACGGGGAAACUUACCAGGACCAGAUGUUUUUUAUGACUGACAGGCUUAAGGUCUUUCAGGAUAUGAUUUUUGGUGGUGCAUGGCCGUUGGUGGUGCGUGGGUUGACC
RNAcentral lists this ribosomal RNA (565 nucleotides) under Tetratrichomonas gallinarum. Its description in RNAcentral is "SSU rRNA". It matches the Rfam family "Eukaryotic small subunit ribosomal RNA", at positions 706 to 1311 of the family's 1831-position model. Lineage: Eukaryota; Parabasalia; Trichomonadida; Trichomonadidae. The record is from RNAcentral.